Molecule: ribosomal RNA, 506 nt
Filed under: uncultured bacterium
Lineage: Bacteria
Description: partial 16S ribosomal RNA
Rfam family: Bacterial small subunit ribosomal RNA
Source: RNAcentral
GAUGAACGCUAGCUACAGGCUCAACACAUGCAAGUCGAGGGGUAACGAGAGGAAAGCUUGCUUUCCUUGUCGACGACCGGCGCACGGGUGAGUAACGCGUAUCCAACCUGCCCCCAACUAGGGAAUAACCUUGCGAAAGUAAGACUAAUACCCUAUAAUUUCCUCAGAUGUCAUCUGACGAGGAAUAAAGAUUUAUCGGUUGUGGAUGGGGAUGCGUCUGAUUAGCUUGUUGGCGGGGUAACGGCCCACCAAGGCAACGAUCAGUAGGGGUUCUGAGAGGAAGGUCCCCCACAUUGGAACUGAGACACGGUCCAUACUCCUACGGGAGGCAGCAGUGAGGAAUAUUGGUCAAUGGGCGGAAGCCUGAACCAGCCAAGUAGCGUGCAGGAUGACGGCCCUAUGGGUUGUAAACUGCUUUUAUACAGGAAUAAAGUUAGCCACGUGUGGUUAUUUGUAGGUACUGUAUGAAUAAGGACCGGCUAAUUCCGUGCCAGCCGCCGCGGUAA